AGCGAACGUUUGCGGCGGGCCUAACACAUGCAAGUCGAACGGGCAGUCCCUUCGGGGGCUGUCAGUGGCGCACGGGUGCGUAACACGUAGGUAAUCAACCCUCGGGUUCGGGAUAACACUUCGAAAGGGGUGCUAAUACCGGAUGCGACGAGCGUCUCCUCGGAGAUGCACGGGAAAGAUCCGCAAGGGCCGCCCGAGGACGAGCCUGCGGCCCAUCAGCUUGUUGGUGAGGUAAUGGCUCACCAAGGCUAAGACGGGUAGCUGGUCUGAGAGGAUGAUCAGUCACACUGGAACUGAGACACGGUCCAGACUCCUACGGGAGGCAGCAGUGGGGAAUAUUGCGCAAUGGGCGAAAGCCUGACGCAGCCACGCCGCGUGAGCGAUGAAGGCC
This 391-nucleotide ribosomal RNA is filed under the name uncultured bacterium. RNAcentral describes it as "bacterial SSU rRNA". It matches the Rfam family "Bacterial small subunit ribosomal RNA", at positions 29 to 416 of the family's 1533-position model. The record is from RNAcentral.